ACAACAACACAGCCGAUCUAGAAAAUUUUAAUUUUUUUUCCAUAUUGAACAAAUUUUUAACGUGACAAUAAAAGAAUAAAUUUUUGGGUUUGGAUUAAAUUUAUGAGAUUAAAAAGAUGAAGAGAAAAGAAAAGAACAAAGAUUUUGGGUUGGGUUGAAGAAGGAAUAAGAAGAUGAGGGAAGUUGUUGAAGAAGAAGAAAAGGAUGAAGAGAAGAGGAAGGAGGAAAAGAAGGGUACGGUGGAGAGAAGAAAGAAGAGAAGGAUG
RNAcentral lists this long non-coding RNA (266 nucleotides) under Medicago truncatula (barrel medic). RNAcentral describes it as "long non-coding RNA (MTRU_LNC002975)". The record is from RNAcentral. Lineage: Eukaryota; Viridiplantae; Streptophyta; Magnoliopsida; Fabales; Fabaceae.